AUGGGGCGACGGGGCGGACAGCGAUGCCGGCGUUCUUCUCGAGCGAAUUUGACCUCGACCUCGACGGGGCAACGAGGUGGAAAGCGUCGCCGGCUUCCUCCUCCGGCGAAUUCGUUUGUCAGUAUAGCUGAGUCACCGCCCGACGCCGUUCUCUACUUAAUCCAUCGGACGCCGAAAGAAACCCUAGCUUAUUAUACCACAUGUAGAUGUGGCAAGGCUAUUUGUGCUCUAAGAAAACCAAGUUGGCUUGGAUCCCGGAAGCCCCGCUCGAGUCAGGUUGCGUGGAUAGAGAAGGGGCAGGCUUUAGGUCAACGGCCGCGCCGCCCGGCCCGUGGUCCAUACAAGCACGCUGCCGCCUAAGGGCAUGUAGUUGUUAGGCUGCCGUGGAUCGCCCUAAGCUGAUUCAGCUAGGGUUGACGGCUGGGAGCGUUAAGAAUCCAAAAUUACUCAGACCCGUCUAUGUUCUAAGGGGAUUAGGUUGGAGGCACCAGCCCGAUCUGUUUAGUCCUCCAUUUCAGCUUGGGUUUCUUUAGGGUUUCGGAGGAUGGGACAAGAAACUCCCAAACAGCUGCUGAUUUGGGGAAUCAUGGGUUGAUCAUGGUGUUGUUUGAGACACCCUCGGGCUUUGCAAUUUUCUAUUUUGACGGGAUCAGCCUCUACGAACCAGAUGCCAUGGAGAAUAUAUGGGCGCACUUCGUCACGGAAUAUAGGGCAAGCCAUGUCAUUUGGCGAAAAGACUUUCAAGUUUUUAAGGACAAGUCUGAUGCCAUUAACCAUGAUAGUGGUCUUAACAAUCAGCUUACUAACAUGCUCUUGAAGUGGUACCAACCUGGGCAGAAACUUGCUGUUGGCAAGAUUGAAUAUAAAAUAGUCAUUGAAGCAAACUUGGGAAUAUCCUGCCUGUUUGAUGAACCUGUAAUGGAGCUGAUGCGUGGGCUGAACUAUCUCAUGCAUAGUGUAGUUCCUGAAGAAAAAUCAAAGCUAGCCGAGGAGCACUGCCUCCAGACGAGUCAAGGGCUGAAAAUGCUCCUUCAUCGUUAUGGCUUUGAUAUAAAACCGGAGAUGGUUAAUGAUUGCAUUAUUGUGACAGCAUGCAACUUAUAUGAUUCUGAUUGUUGUUUAAAGAAUCAAUUUAAGAGUUUGCGCCUUGCUAGUCACUUCCUUCAGGAUGUGUCAUCCAUUAAUUUUCAAGACUGGGACAUAUUGAAACUUGCAACAGCUCUGAAGAUGGUAUGUUACCCUGAAGACGAUAUCUUGUUUGGUAAUCCUGAUGAGAUGUUUUCAACAGAUGAGUUAUCAAAGUUAGUGGCUGAUGCACAUAAAUACGAAGACAGUGGGAUCAUUAAAGGAGCUAUUUUGAGGCUCUAUAAUUUAGUGGUGUAUCUCCUUAAUUGUAAGGCAAAGUAUCAGAGGAGAUUGGCCUCCUUCGUCAAGGAGGCUAAAGAAUCAUAUGAAGCUGAGCAAGUUGUUAGAGAGAGGGGUUCCCUUCGAACUGAUGCUUUUGAAGCGGACAUACAAGUUGGGGUACAAAUGGUUGCAGGAUAA
Molecule: ribosomal RNA, 1545 nt
Filed under: Triticum aestivum (bread wheat)
Lineage: Eukaryota; Viridiplantae; Streptophyta; Magnoliopsida; Poales; Poaceae
Description: partial small subunit ribosomal RNA
Source: RNAcentral